UUAAGCGACUAAGCGUACACGGUGGAUGCCCUGGCAGUCAGAGGCGAUGAAGGACGUGCUAAUCUGCGAAAAGCGUCGGUAAGGUGAUAUGAACCGUUAUAACCGGCGAUGUCCGAAUGGGGAAACCCAGUGCAAUUCGUUGCACUAUCGUUAACUGAAUACAUAGGUUAACGAGGCGAACCGGGGGAACUGAAACAUCUAAGUACCCCGAGGAAAAGAAAUCAACCGAGAUUCCCCCAGUAGCGGCGAGCGAACGGGGAGCAGCCCAGAGUCUGAAUCAGCUUGUGUGUUAGUGGAACGGUCUGGAAAGUCCGACGGUACAGGGUGAUAGUCCCGUACACCAAAAUGCACAGGCUGUGAACUCGAAGAGUAGGGCGGGACACGUGGUAUCCUGUCUGAAUAUGGGGGGACCAUCCUCCAAGGCUAAAUACUCCUGACUGACCGAUAGUGAACCAGUACCGUGAGGGAAAGGCGAAAAGAACCCCGGCGAGGGGAGUGAAAAAGAACCUGAAACCGUGUACGUACAAGCAGUGGGAGCACCUUCGGGUGUGACUGCGUACCUUUUGUAUAAUGGGUCAGCGACUUAUAUUCUGUAGCAAGGUUAACCGUAUAGGGGAGCCGCAGGGAAACCGAGUCUUAACUGGGCGUUAAGUUGCAGGGUAUAGACCCGAAACCCGGUGAUCUAGCCAUGGGCAGGUUGAAGGUUGGGUAACACUAACUGGAGGACCGAACCGACUAAUGUUGAAAAAUUAGCGGAUGACUUGUGGCUGGGGGUGAAAGGCCAAUCAAACCGGGAGAUAGCUGGUUCUCCCCGAAAGCUAUUUAGGUAGCGCCUCGUGAACUCAUCUUCGGGGGUAGAGCACUGUUUCGGCUAGGGGGUCAUCCCGACUUACCAACCCGAUGCAAACUACGAAUACCGAAGAAUGUUAUCACGGGAGACACACGGCGGGUGCUAACGUCCGUCGUGAAGAGGGAAACAACCCAGACCGCCAGCUAAGGUCCCAAAGUCAUGGUUAAGUGGGAAACGAUGUGGGAAGGCACAGACAGCCAGGAUGUUGGCUUAGAAGCAGCCAUCAUUUAAAGAAAGCGUAAUAGCUCACUGGUCGAGUCGGCCUGCGCGGAAGAUGUAACGGGGCUAAACCAUGCACCGAAGCUGCGGCAGCGACACUAUGUGUUGUUGGGUAGGGGAGCGUUCUGUAAGCCUGCGAAGGUGACCUGUGAGGGUUGCUGGAGGUAUCAGAAGUGCGAAUGCUGACAUAAGUAACGAUAAAGCGGGUGAAAAGCCCGCUCGCCGGAAGACCAAGGGUUCCUGUCCAACGUUAAUCGGGGCAGGGUGAGUCGACCCCUAAGGCGAGGCCGAAAGGCGUAGUCGAUGGGAAACAGGUUAAUAUUCCUGUACUUGGUGUUACUGCGAAGGGGGGACGGAGAAGGCUAUGUUAGCCGGGCGACGGUUGUCCCGGUUUAAGCAUGUAGGCUGGUUGUCCAGGCAAAUCCGGAUAAUCAAGGCUGAGGUGUGAUGACGAGGCACUACGGUGCUGAAGUAACAAAUGCCCUGCUUCCAGGAAAAGCCUCUAAGCAUCAGGUAACAUCAAAUCGUACCCCAAACCGACACAGGUGGUCAGGUAGAGAAUACCAAGGCGCUUGAGAGAACUCGGGUGAAGGAACUAGGCAAAAUGGUGCCGUAACUUCGGGAGAAGGCACGCUGGUGUGUAGGUGAAGUCCCUGCGGAUGGAGCUGAGACCAGUCGAAGAUACCAGCUGGCUGCAACUGUUUAUUAAAAACACAGCACUGUGCAAACACGAAAGUGGACGUAUACGGUGUGACGCCUGCCCGGUGCCGGAAGGUUAAUUGAUGGGGUUAUCCGUAAGGAGAAGCUCUUGAUCGAAGCCCCGGUAAACGGCGGCCGUAACUAUAACGGUCCUAAGGUAGCGAAAUUCCUUGUCGGGUAAGUUCCGACCUGCACGAAUGGCGUAAUGAUGGCCAGGCUGUCUCCACCCGAGACUCAGUGAAAUUGAACUCGCUGUGAAGAUGCAGUGUACCCGCGGCAAGACGGAAAGACCCCGUGAACCUUUACUAUAGCUUGACACUGAACAUUGAGCCUUGAUGUGUAGGAUAGGUGGGAGGCUUUGAAGCGUGGACGCCAGUCUGCGUGGAGCCAACCUUGAAAUACCACCCUUUAAUGUUUGAUGUUCUAACGUUGGCCCCUGACCGGGGUUGCGGACAGUGUCUGGUGGGUAGUUUGACUGGGGCGGUCUCCUCCCAAAGCGUAACGGAGGAGCACGAAGGUUAGCUAAUCCUGGUCGGACAUCAGGAGGUUAGUGCAAUGGCAUAAGCUAGCUUGACUGCGAGCGUGACGGCGCGAGCAGGUGCGAAAGCAGGUCAUAGUGAUCCGGUGGUUCUGAAUGGAAGGGCCAUCGCUCAACGGAUAAAAGGUACUCCGGGGAUAACAGGCUGAUACCGCCCAAGAGUUCAUAUCGACGGCGGUGUUUGGCACCUCGAUGUCGGCUCAUCACAUCCUGGGGCUGAAGUAGGUCCCAAGGGUAUGGCUGUUCGCCAUUUAAAGUGGUACGCGAGCUGGGUUUAGAACGUCGUGAGACAGUUCGGUCCCUAUCUGCCGUGGGCGCUGGAGAAUUGAGGGGGGCUGCUCCUAGUACGAGAGGACCGGAGUGGACGCAUCACUGGUGUUCGGGUUGUCAUGCCAAUGGCACUGCCCGGUAGCUAAAUGCGGAAGAGAUAAGUGCUGAAAGCAUCUAAGCACGAAACUUGCCCCGAGAUGAGUUCUCCCUGAGACUUUAAGUCUCCUGAAGGAACGUUGAAGACGACGACGUUGAUAGGCCGGGUGUGUAAGCGCAGCGAUGCGUUGAGCUAACCGGUACUAAUGAACCGUGAGGCUUAACCU
This 2899-nucleotide ribosomal RNA is filed under the name Klebsiella pneumoniae. RNAcentral's name for it is "23S ribosomal RNA". It matches the Rfam family "Bacterial large subunit ribosomal RNA". Lineage: Bacteria; Pseudomonadati; Pseudomonadota; Gammaproteobacteria; Enterobacterales; Enterobacteriaceae. The record is from RNAcentral.